Molecule: transfer RNA, 72 nt
Filed under: Bacteroidota bacterium
Lineage: Bacteria; Pseudomonadati; Bacteroidota
Also listed under: 5 other names
Description: tRNA-Thr
Rfam family: tRNA
About the family: Transfer RNA (tRNA) molecules are approximately 80 nucleotides in length.
Source: RNAcentral
GCCGAUGUAGCUCAGUGGUAGAGCACUUCCUUGGUAAGGAAGGGGUCACGAGUUCAAGUCUCGUCAUUGGCU